GAGAACUACUAGCCAUUGCUUAAAACUCAAAGGACUUGGCGGUGCCCUAAACCCGCCUAGAGGAGCCUGUUCUAUAAUGAGAAACCCCGAUAUACUCAACCCUGUCUUGCCAAUACAGCCUAUAUACCACCAUCGUCAGCACACCUUAAAAAAGACAAAAAGUAAGCAAAACUACUUUCCAUAAAAACAUUAGGUCAAGGUGUAGCACAUGAAAGGGAAAUAAAUGGGCUACAUUCACUAAUUUAGAGAAUUACAAAUCACAUUAUGAAAUUAAAGUGUUUGAAGGAGGAUUUAGUAGUAAAUUAAGAAUACAGUGCUUAAUUGAAUUAGGCAAUAGGGCGCACACACAUCGCCUGUCACCCUCCUCAACUCAAUUUAUUAAUAUACCUAAUAAUUCAUUUAAACAAAGAGGAGAAAAGUCGUAACACAGUAAGUGUACUGGAAAGUGCACUUG
This 454-nucleotide non-coding RNA is filed under the name Monodelphis domestica (gray short-tailed opossum). RNAcentral describes it as "Bacterial small subunit ribosomal RNA". It matches the Rfam family "Bacterial small subunit ribosomal RNA", at positions 875 to 1520 of the family's 1533-position model. The record is from Rfam by way of RNAcentral. Lineage: Eukaryota; Metazoa; Chordata; Mammalia; Didelphimorphia; Didelphidae.